Molecule: ribosomal RNA, 486 nt
Filed under: uncultured bacterium
Lineage: Bacteria
Description: partial 16S ribosomal RNA
Rfam family: Bacterial small subunit ribosomal RNA
Source: RNAcentral
GACGAACGCUGGCGGCGUGCUUAACACAUGCAAGUCGAACGGAAAGGCCUCUUUCUGGGUGUACUCGAGUGGCGAACGGGUGAGUAACACGUGAGUAACCUGCCCUUGACUUUGGGAUAACUUCAGUAAACUGGGGCUAAUACCGGCUAGGAGCUCCUUCUACCUGGUGGGGGUUGGAAAGUUUCGGCGGUUGGGGAUGGACUCGCGGCGGAUCAGCUCGUCGGUGGGGUAAUGGCUUACCAAGGCUUUGACGGGUAGCCGACCUGAGAGGGUGAUCGGCCACACUGGAACGGAGACACGGUCCAGACGCCGACGGGAGGCAGCAGUAGGGAAUCGGCAGCAAUGGGCGAAAGACUGACGGAGCAGCGCCGCGUGAGUGAUGAAGGUCUUCGGAUCGGAAAACUCUGUUAUUAGGGAAGAACAAAUGUGUAAGUAACUAUGCACGUCUUGACGGUACCUAAGCAGAAAGCCACGGCUAACUACGUG